RNAcentral lists this ribosomal RNA (468 nucleotides) under uncultured bacterium. Its description in RNAcentral is "partial 16S ribosomal RNA". It matches the Rfam family "Bacterial small subunit ribosomal RNA", at positions 28 to 507 of the family's 1533-position model. The record is from RNAcentral.
GACGAACGCUGGCGGCGUGCUUAACACAUGCAAGUCGAACGGAAAGGCCCUGCUUUUGUGGGGUGCUCGAGUGGCGAACGGGUGAGUAACACGUGAGUAACCUGCCCUUGCCUUUGGGAUAACUUCAGGAAACUGGGGCUAAUACCGGAUAGGAGCUCCUGCUGCAUGGUGGGGGUUGGAAAGUUUCGGCGGUUGGGGGUGGACUAGCGGCUUAUCAGCUUGUUGGUGGGGUAGUGGCUUACCAAGGCUUUGACGGGUAGCCGGCCUGAGCGGGUGACCUGCCAAAUUGGGAUGGAGAUACGGCCCAGACUCCUACGGGAGGCAACGGUGCGGAGGAGUGUACAAUGGGCGGAAGCCUGACCUAGCAACGCCGCGUGCGGGAUGACGGCCUGCGGGUUGUAAAGCGCUGCCGUCUGUGACGAAGCGUUAGUGACGGUAAUGGGUAAAGAAGCACCGGCUAACUACGUG